Molecule: ribosomal RNA, 301 nt
Filed under: uncultured bacterium
Lineage: Bacteria
Description: partial 16S ribosomal RNA
Rfam family: Bacterial small subunit ribosomal RNA
Source: RNAcentral
CAGUAGCCGCGGUAAUACGGAGGGUGCAAGCGUUAAUCGGAAUUACUGGGCGUAAAGCGCACGCAGGCGGUCUGACAAGUCAGAUGUGAAAUCCCCGGGCUUAACCUGGGAACUGCAUUUGAAACUGUCAGGCUGGAGUCUUGUAGAGGGGGGUAGAAUUCCAGGUGUAGCGGUGAAAUGCGUAGAGAUCUGGAGGAAUACCGGUGGCGAAGGCGGCCCCCUGGACAAAGACUGACGCUCAGGUGCGAAAGCGUGGGGAGCAAACAGGAUUAGAUACCCGAGUAGCCCCUGUCUCUUAUAC